Molecule: ribosomal RNA, 434 nt
Filed under: uncultured bacterium
Lineage: Bacteria
Description: partial 16S ribosomal RNA
Rfam family: Bacterial small subunit ribosomal RNA
Source: RNAcentral
AGCGAACGCUGGCGGCAGGCCUAACACAUGCAAGUCGAACGAACCUUUCGGGGUUAGUGGCGGACGGGUGAGUAACACGUGGGAACGUGCCUUUAGGUUCGGAAUAACUCAGGGAAACUUGUGCUAAUACCGAAUGUGCCCUUCGGGGGAAAGAUUUAUCGCCUUUAGAGCGGCCCGCGUCUGAUUAGCUAGUUGGUUGAGGUAAUGGCUCACCAAGGCGACGAUCAGUAACUGGUCUGAGAGGAUGAUCAGCCACAUUGGGACUGAGACACGGCCCAAACUCCUACGGGAGGCAGCAGUGGGGAAUCUUGCGCAAUGGGCGAAAGCCUGACGCAGCCAUGCCGCGUGAAUGAUGAAGGUCUUAGGAUUGUAAAAUUCUUUCACCGGGGACGAUAAUGACGGUACCCGGAGAAGAAGCCCCGGCUAACUUCGUG